RNAcentral lists this ribosomal RNA (434 nucleotides) under uncultured Clostridium sp. RNAcentral describes it as "partial 16S ribosomal RNA". It matches the Rfam family "Bacterial small subunit ribosomal RNA", at positions 341 to 792 of the family's 1533-position model. The record is from RNAcentral. Lineage: Bacteria; Bacillati; Bacillota; Clostridia; Eubacteriales; Clostridiaceae.
ACGGGAGGCAGCAGUGGGGAAUAUUGCACAAUGGGGGAAACCCUGAUGCAGCGACGCCGCGUGAGUGAAGAAGUAUCUCGGUAUGUAAAGCUCUAUCAGCAGGGAAGAAAAUGACGGUACCUGACUAAGAAGCCCCGGCUAACUACGUGCCAGCAGCCGCGGUAGUACGUAGGGGGCAAGCGUUAUCCGGAUUUACUGGGUGUAAAGGGAGCGUAGACGGUUUGGCAAGUCUGAAGUGAAAUGCGGGGGCUCAACUCCUGAACUGCUUUGGAAACUGUCGAACUAGAGUGCAGGAGAGGUAAGUGGAAUUCCUAGUGUAGCGGUGAAAUGCGUAGAUAUUAGGAGGAACAUCAGUGGCGAAGGCGGCUUACUGGGCUUUAACUGACGCUGAGGCUCGAAAGCGUGGGGAGCAAACAGGAUUAGAUACCCUGGUA